This 66-nucleotide transfer RNA is filed under the name Paguristes turgidus. RNAcentral's name for it is "tRNA-Cys". It matches the Rfam family "tRNA". From Rfam's summary of the family: Transfer RNA (tRNA) molecules are approximately 80 nucleotides in length. The record is from RNAcentral. Lineage: Eukaryota; Metazoa; Arthropoda; Malacostraca; Decapoda; Diogenidae.
AGUUCUAUAGUGGAAACUAAGACGUUGGGUUGCAAACUCAAAAAUGUGAGAAUAUCACUAGGACUU